GACGAACGCUGGCGGCGUGCUUAACACAUGCAAGUCGAACGGAAAGGCCCUGCUUGCAGGGUACUCGAGUGGCGAACGGGUGAGUAACACGUGGGUGAUCUGCCCUGCACUUCGGGAUAAGCCUGGGCAACUGGGUCUAAUACCGGAUAGGAGCCAUUUUUAGUGUGAUGGUUGGAAAGUUUUUUCGGGGUAGGAUGAUCUCGCGGCCUAUCAGCUUGUUGGUGGGGUAAUGGCCUACCAAGGCGGCGACGGGUAGCCGGCCUGAGAGGGUGGACGGCCACAUUGGGACUGAGAUAAGGCCCAGACUCCUACGGGAGGCAGCAGUGGGGAAGAUUGCACAAUGGGCGCAAGCCUGAUGCAGAGACGCCGCGUGGGGGAUGACGGCCUUCGGGUUGUAAACUCCGUUCGCUAGGGACGAAGCUUUUUGUGACGGUACCUAGAUAAGAAGCACCGGCUAACUACGUG
Molecule: ribosomal RNA, 465 nt
Filed under: uncultured bacterium
Lineage: Bacteria
Description: partial 16S ribosomal RNA
Rfam family: Bacterial small subunit ribosomal RNA
Source: RNAcentral